CCUCCACUCCCCGACACUUCCGGCGGACCCUCAAGAAGUACGAAGGCUUACGUGCUCAACCGCACGCCUCCUCUCGGUCGCCGUCUGCCGUCACCACCUCUAGCCACGCGCGUAGAGUUCAUGAGUCAGUUUCUGUGUGUUCACAGUAAAGCCAUUGCUGGAAAGAAAUCACACACCUGGAAGGGAUCAUUGGUCCCACUCAAGAGUCAGAGCGCAAAAAGAGAAAUUGCUGACACAAGAAAUUCUGCUUUUACAUGGUACCUUGUGAAGAAAACACUUUAUAAAUUCUUGGGUGAUUUCCAAACCACCUGCAGUUCUGAAUUAGAAGAGACCUCAGUGAUUUCUGCUCUGAUCUACUCUUAAACCAGAACCAGAACCCGCUCCUACUCCACAACAUGCUAGGGAAGACUCAAAUGUAGAUGAUCAUUAUCUCGAUGUCAUCAUGCUUCUGUAGUUCUUAUGAGAAAUGACCAGCCAAUCUCAACUGAAAACAUCAAUAUCCCUGUAACCCAGAUUGUAGAAAGAACCACCAGAUCUCCUCCAAAUAUGGGUCCUCCUGUAAGAUCCAAGACAAUUCCAAAGAAUUCAUGCUGAAAACUGCUUUCCACUUCCAGAAAGUGAAUUGAUGAAUUGAAUGGAGAUUGAAGCACAUUUUUCUUGCUUUUUUAUUUUUAUAGCAUGGCAGAUAUAGAGAUCUGUUUUGCAUUACUUUACAUGUAUAUUAGGUAUCAUAUUUGAUUUCUCAAAAUUUAAAAAUGAAUGUUAAAAUAAUUAAAUAAGGCCCUUUUGUCAAUCUUGACUACCCUUUACUACCACUACCACUCCCCCCCCCCCCACAUAUACUUUGUAUCUAUC
Molecule: long non-coding RNA, 855 nt
Organism: Sarcophilus harrisii (Tasmanian devil)
Lineage: Eukaryota; Metazoa; Chordata; Mammalia; Dasyuromorphia; Dasyuridae
Source: Ensembl